This is an RNA transcript of Nycticebus coucang (slow loris), 1742 nucleotides long. It is a transcript of the gene named zinc finger protein 384-like, with no coding region annotated. The record is from RefSeq and is a predicted model, not a curated record. The transcript has 2 exons. Lineage: Eukaryota; Metazoa; Chordata; Mammalia; Primates; Lorisidae.
UCGGGAGCACGAGCUGCAGCACCACUUCCGGAAAGUUCAGGCGCCCUGGAAAGGAGAAGAAAUAAGACAACAGGAGGAAGAGAGAGAGAGGGUAGAAUGGAAGAAUCUCACUUUAAUUCUAACCUGUACUUCUGGCCUUCUAUCCCCGCAGUUUCAGGACAAAUUGAGAACACAAUGUUCAUCAAUAAGAUGAAGGAUCAGCUGUUGCCAGAGAAGGGCUGUGGGCUGGCUCCACCUCACUACCCCACCCUGCUGACAGUGCCUACCUCAGUGUCCUUGCCCUCAGGCAUCAGUAUGGACACGGAAUCCAAAUCAGACCAGCUGACCCCACACAGCCAGGCUUCCGUCACUCAGAAUAUCACGGUGGUCCCUAGCCAUCUACAGGACUGAUGACUGCUGGCCCAGGUUUGCCCUGCCAGGUGGUCCCUGACCUCUCCAAGAAGGUAGCAUCAACCCUAACAGAGGAAGGAGGUGGAGGUGGUGGUGGAGGUGGCAGCGUGGUUCCUAAGCCACCCAGGGGCCGAAAGAAGAAGCGGAUGUUGGAGUCGGGGCUGCCUGAAAUGAAUGACCCCUAUGUCCUCUCCCCUGAGGAUGAUGAUGACCAUCAGAAAGACAGAGAUGCAGAUCCACUCCAAGUCACACACCGAGACCAAGCCCCACAAGUGCCCACAUUGUUCCAAGACCUUCGCCAACAGCUCCUACCUGGCCCAGCACAUCGUAUACACUCAGGGGCUAAGCCCCACAGUUGUAACUUCUGUGAGAAAUCCUUCUGCCAGCUCUCCCACCUUCAGCAGCACACCCGAAUCCACACUGGUGAUAGAUAAUACAAAUGUGCACACCCAGGCUGUGAGAAAGCCUUCACCCAGCUCUCCAAUCUACAGUCCCACAGAUGGCAACACAACAAAGAUAAACUCUUCAAGUGCCACAAUUGUCAUGGGGCGUACACAGAUGCAGCCUCACUAGAGGUACACCUAUCUACGCAUACGGUGAAGCAUGCCAAGGUGUACACCUGCACUAUCUGCAGUCAGGCAACGUCGGAAACGUACCUUAUGAAACAUAUGCGCAAACACAACCCUCCUGAUCUCCAGCAACAAGUACAGGUGGCGGCGGCAGCAGCAGUGGCCCUGGCCCAGGCCCAGGCUCAGGCUCAGGCUCAGGCUCAGGCCCAGGCCCAGGCCUCCCAAGAAUCACAGCAGCAGCAGCAGCCACCACACUUCCAGUCUCCUGGGGCAGCCCCCCAGGGUGGGGAUGGUGGGGACAACAACCCCAACCCUCCACCCCAGUGUUCUUUUGACCUGACCCCCUAUAAGACUGCGGAGCAUCAUAAGGACAUCUGCCUCACUGUCACCACCAGCACCAUCCAGGUGGAGCACCUGGCCAGCUGUUAGAGAUCCGUGCUGCCACCCACUGGGAAGAGGAGAAAGAAGUUUUGGUCCCUCCUUUCUCCAACUCUUGGUGGGAAAACUCCUCUUCCUUGAUAAGCCUUGGCCCUAUUUCCUUGGGCCUUAGGCAUGGCUUUCCUUCACAAGAUACCAUCCUUAUUCUCAACUCCUCUUCAAAAGGAACAUCAGCCCUCCUGAUUGGCAAAGGAAUACUGAGCUGAUGGUGUCAUUUAGCAGCCUCCCCUCCCAAGCAAAGCUUUUUAAAUUGGGGGUUGGUGCUCAAGGGAAGGAUUUGCUAUGACCUCAUAGAAAUUUGUCCUGUGUGGACACUUACCCUACCUUUAUCCUCAUCCUCAAAGG